GGAUAUGAGGUCGAUCCGGCCAGGUUGAUUCUACUGCUCUGGCUGGGUGGUGUCCCCUUCUUCCCUCACCGCCUCGUAUGUGUUCUUCCCAAAGCUGUGAACUUGGAGGGCCGUUCCCUUGCACAAGUGUAUGUGUGUAGUUGCACUGCCCUGCUAGAACCUACAAACAAGUUCUCAGGAUUUGAGUUAACUUAGUAUAGCUAAAGCAGGAGAAAGCAUAAUGUCUUUUUGGGCAAUAAUGAUUGUUUUAG
Cavia porcellus (domestic guinea pig) is the source of this 251-nucleotide non-coding RNA. It matches the Rfam family "7SK RNA". From Rfam's summary of the family: 7SK was discovered as an abundant small nuclear RNA in the mid-70s but a possible function has only recently been suggested. Two independent studies have found that 7SK RNA binds the CDK9/cyclin T complex (known as elongation factor P-TEFb). The record is from Rfam. NCBI's taxonomy places the organism in Eukaryota, Metazoa, Chordata, Mammalia, Rodentia, Caviidae.